ACUUCUGGUAAGUGUCUCUGACUGUUCCACGUACAUUGGCAGUUGGCUCCUCAGGUGCAGGAUCCAUUAUCACAUAUAGGAUCCGUUCAUGCUCCAGGACUAUCUUCAACUUUCGAUACCAGCUACCGAAGUUGGAUCCCACCAACUUAUCAUUGUCCAACAAUGAUCGGAGCGAUAGGGAAGUGGCCAUAUUUGCACAAAGGAGAACCAUAACCUAAUUAGUAAUUGAUUCAUUAAACCUAAAGAUUUGGACUUUAAUCAAAAGGUUUCUCCCACUAUUUUAUUCGAAUCGAUAGCCUCUACCUCCAAUUCGAGGAAUUACC
This 323-nucleotide long non-coding RNA is filed under the name Elaeis guineensis (African oil palm). RNAcentral describes it as "long non-coding RNA (EGUI_LNC068325)". Lineage: Eukaryota; Viridiplantae; Streptophyta; Magnoliopsida; Arecales; Arecaceae. The record is from RNAcentral.